Molecule: ribosomal RNA, 253 nt
Filed under: uncultured bacterium
Lineage: Bacteria
Description: partial 16S ribosomal RNA
Rfam family: Bacterial small subunit ribosomal RNA
Source: RNAcentral
UACGGUGGGGGCAAGCGUUGUUCGGAAUUACUGGGCGUAAAGGGCUCGUAGGCGGCCAACUAAGUCAGACGUGAAAUCCCUCGGCUUAACCGGGGAACUGCGUCUGAUACUGGAUGGCUUGAAUCCGGGAGAGGGAUGCGGAAUUCCAGGUGUAGCGGUGAAAUGCGUAGAUAUCAGGAGGAACACCGGUGGCGAAGGCGGGUCUCUGGGCCGAUACUGACGCUGAGGAGCGAAAGAGUGGGGAGCAAACAGG